RNAcentral lists this transfer RNA (73 nucleotides) under Felis catus (domestic cat). It matches the Rfam family "tRNA". From Rfam's summary of the family: Transfer RNA (tRNA) molecules are approximately 80 nucleotides in length. RNAcentral also lists the same sequence under 1 other name. The record is from Rfam by way of RNAcentral. Lineage: Eukaryota; Metazoa; Chordata; Mammalia; Carnivora; Felidae.
GCCUGGCUGGCUCAGUCAGUGGAGCGUGCGACUCUUAAUCUCGGGGUUGUGAGUUCGAGUCCCAUGUUGGGGG